Molecule: long non-coding RNA, 543 nt
Organism: Myotis myotis
Lineage: Eukaryota; Metazoa; Chordata; Mammalia; Chiroptera; Vespertilionidae
Exons: 2
Source: RefSeq, a predicted model, not a curated record
AAAUAAUUAUAGGCUUGUCGGCUCUGAGAACUACAGGCAAGAUGGAACCUCUGGCCACACCAUUGAGAGCGUGUGUGGCUUCCCUUGGGAUUCGAGAACUUCACGUUGAACACCGAGAUGCCACCAAACAUUGUAGAAAAGCCGCCCUUUCUCUGUGCGAGGUGUCAGUUCUCCGUGGUGGAGAUCUGCUCCCAACCUUAUCCCAGGAGAAGCUUGUUGUUUCCAAACUUGUGGAUGCUGGAAAAUUAGAUAACCAAGCUUGGCCAACAUUAUGAUACAUGAGCCAUCGACUCUGAGCAAACGCUAAGAACUAAAGCGGUCAUGCAGGGUUUCAGAGCGGAGCUGAGAGACACCUACUUUGGAGGCUCAGGCAGCUUGUUUGUCUGAUUCCCAGUGCAUGUUCCAAGGGAUGGGCUACAAGACAAUUGACUUCUGGGUACGGGUAGUAACGCCACAAGGUAACGUUUGGAGCCUUGAGUUACAACCAAACAGCUCUAUAAUUGUUUGAUGUUUUCCUCCAAAUUAAAGAUACAAUUAAGGACA